AUUGAACGCUGGCGGCAGGCCUAACACAUGCAAGUCGAGCGGAAGCAGGGAGCUUGCUCCUGGAUUCAGCGGCGGAGGGGCGAGUAAUGCCUAGGAACCUGCGUGGCAGCGGGGGAGAAGGUGCGGACACGGGGGCUAAUACCGCAAUCGUCCAGAGGGCGAACGGGGGGGAUCAGCGGACCUUACGCCAUUAGAUGAGCCGAGGUCGGAUUAGCUAGUUGGUGGGGUAAAGGCCUACCAAGGCGACGAUCCGUAGCUGGUCUGAGAGGAUGAUCAGCCACACUGGAACUGAGACACGGUCCAGACUCCUACGGGAGGCAGCAGUGGGGAAUAUUGGACAAUGGGCGCAAGCCUGAUCCAGCCAUGCCGCGUGUGUGAAGAAGGUCUUCGGAUUGUAAAGCACUUUUAUUGGGGAAGAAGAGCAGUAAGUUAAUACCUCGCUGUUUUGACGUUACCCACAGAAUAAGCACCGGCUAACUUCGUG
This 484-nucleotide ribosomal RNA is filed under the name uncultured bacterium. Its description in RNAcentral is "partial 16S ribosomal RNA". It matches the Rfam family "Bacterial small subunit ribosomal RNA", at positions 29 to 507 of the family's 1533-position model. The record is from RNAcentral.